GCGGGUGUAGUUCAAUGGUAGAACAUCAGCUUCCCAAGCUGAUAGUGCGGGUUCGAUUCCCGUCACCCGCUCCA
Molecule: transfer RNA, 74 nt
Filed under: Chloroflexota bacterium
Lineage: Bacteria; Bacillati; Chloroflexota
Description: tRNA-Gly
Rfam family: tRNA
About the family: Transfer RNA (tRNA) molecules are approximately 80 nucleotides in length. Their secondary structure includes four short double-helical elements and three loops (D, anti-codon, and T loops). Further hydrogen bonds mediate the characteristic L-shaped molecular structure. tRNAs have two regions of fundamental functional importance: the anti-codon, which is responsible for specific mRNA codon recognition, and the 3' end, to which the tRNAs corresponding amino acid is attached (by aminoacyl-tRNA synthetases). tRNAs cope with the degeneracy of the genetic code in two manners: having more than one tRNA (with a specific anti-codon) for a particular amino acid; and 'wobble' base-pairing, i.e. permitting non-standard base-pairing at the 3rd anti-codon position.
Source: RNAcentral